This 222-nucleotide ribosomal RNA is filed under the name uncultured bacterium. Its description in RNAcentral is "partial 16S ribosomal RNA". It matches the Rfam family "Bacterial small subunit ribosomal RNA", at positions 524 to 746 of the family's 1533-position model. The record is from RNAcentral.
UACGUAGGAGACGAGCGUUGUCCGGAGUUACUGGGCGUAAAGGGUGCGCAGGUGGCGGCGCGCGUGGGGGGUGAAAUCGCCCGGCUUAACUGGGCGGGGCCUUCCAGACGGCGUGGCUUGAGCAGCGGAGGGGGACGUGGAAUUCCGGGUGGAGCGGUGAAAUGCGUAGAGAUCCGGAGGAACACCGACGGCGCAGGCAGCGUCCUGGCCGCUUGCUGACAC